AUUGAACGCUGGCGGCAGGCCUAACACAUGCAAGUCGAACGGUAACAGGAAACAGCUUGCUGUUUCGCUGACGAGUGGCGGACGGGUGAGUAAUGUCUGGGAAACUGCCUGAUGGAGGGGGAUAACUACUGGAAACGGUAGCUAAUACCGCAUAACGUCGCAAGACCAAAGAGGGGGACCUUCGGGCCUCUUGCCAUCGGAUGUGCCCAGAUGGGAUUAGCUAGUAGGUGGGGUCACGGCUCACCUAGGCGACGAUCCCUAGCUGGUCUGAGAGGAUGACCAGCCACACUGGAACUGAGACACGGUCCAGACUCCUACGGGAGGCAGCAGUGGGGAAUAUUGCACAAUGGGCGCAAGCCUGAUGCAGCCAUGCCGCGUGUAUGAAGAAGGCCUUCGGGUUGUAAAGUACUUUCAGCGGGGAGGAAGGGAGUAAAGUUAAUACCUUUGCUCAUUGACGUUACCCGCAGAAGAAGCACCGGCUAACUCCGUG
This 490-nucleotide ribosomal RNA is filed under the name uncultured bacterium. RNAcentral describes it as "partial 16S ribosomal RNA". It matches the Rfam family "Bacterial small subunit ribosomal RNA", at positions 30 to 507 of the family's 1533-position model. The record is from RNAcentral.